CCCGCACAAGCGGUGGAGCAUGUGGUUUAAUUCGACGCAACGCGAAGAACCUUACCUGGUCUUGACAUCCACAGAACUUUCCAGAGAUGGAUUGGUGCCUUCGGGAACUGUGAGACAGGUGCUGCAUGGCUGUCGUCAGCUCGUGUUGUGAAAUGUUGGGUUAAGUCCCGCAACGAGCGCAACCCUUAUCCUUUGUUGCCAGCGGUCCGGCCGGGAACUCAAAGGAGACUGCCAGUGAUAAACUGGAGGAAGGUGGGAUGACGUCAAGUCAUCAUGGCCCUUACGACCAGGGCUACACACGUGCUACAAUGGCGCAUACAAAGAGAAGCGACCUCGCGAGAGCAAGCGGACCUCAUAAAGUGCGUCGUAGUCCGGAUUGGAGUCUGCAACUCGACUCCAUGAAGUCGGAAUCGCUAGUAAUCGUGGAUCAGAAUGCCACGGUGAAUACGUUCCCGGGCCUU
This 461-nucleotide ribosomal RNA is filed under the name uncultured Enterobacteriaceae bacterium. RNAcentral describes it as "bacterial SSU rRNA". It matches the Rfam family "Bacterial small subunit ribosomal RNA", at positions 920 to 1382 of the family's 1533-position model. The record is from RNAcentral. Lineage: Bacteria; Pseudomonadati; Pseudomonadota; Gammaproteobacteria; Enterobacterales; Enterobacteriaceae.